Molecule: ribosomal RNA, 568 nt
Filed under: uncultured bacterium
Lineage: Bacteria
Description: bacterial SSU rRNA
Rfam family: Bacterial small subunit ribosomal RNA
Source: RNAcentral
GAUGGGCCCGCGGCCUAUUAGCUAGUUGGUAGGGUAAUGGCCUACCAAGGCUCCGAUGGGUAGCCGGCCUGAGAGGGUGUACGGCCACACUGGAACUGAGACACGGUCCAGACUCCUACGGGAGGCAGCAGUGGGGAAUUUUGCGCAAUGGGGGAAACCCUGACGCAGCAACGCCGCGUGAGUGAUGAAGGCCUUCGGGUCGUAAAGCUCUUUUAGUGGGGACGAAGUGCAGUGGUGCUAAUAUCACCAUCGCUUGACGGUACCCACAGAAAAAGUUCCGGCUAACUCCGUGCCAGCAGCCGCGGUAAUACGGAGGGAGCAAGCGUUGUUCGGAAUCAUUGGGCGUAAAGCGCGCGCAGGCGGUCAGGUAAGUCAGACGUGGAAGCCCACGGCUUAACCGUGGAAUUGCGUUUGAUACUGCCUGGCUAGAGUUCGGGAGAGGAUGGCGGAAUUCCCAGUGUAGAGGUGAAGUUCGUAGAUAUUGGGAGGAACACCUGUGGCGAAGGCGGCUAUCUGGACCGAUACUGACGCUGAGGCGCGAAAGCUAGGGGAGCAAACGGGAUUAGAU